AGAGUUUGAUCCUGGCUCAGAACGAACGCUGGCGGCAGGCUUAACACAUGCAAGUCGAACGCUCGUAGCAAUACGGGAGUGGCAGACGGGUGAGUAACGCGUGGGAACAUACCCUUUGGUUCGGAAUAACUGAGAGAAAUUUCAGCUAAUACCGGAUGUGCCCUUCGGGGGAAAGAUUUAUCGCCAAAGGAUUGGCCCGCGUCUGAUUAGGUAGUUGGUGAGGUAACGGCUCACCAAGCCGACGAUCAGUAGCUGGUCUGAGAGGAUGAUCAGCCACACUGGGACUGAGACACGGCCCAGACUCCUACGGGAGGCAGCAGUGGGGAAUAUUGGACAAUGGGGGCAACCCUGAUCCAGCCAUGCCGCGUGAGUGAUGAAGGCCUUAGGAUUGUAAAGCUCUUUCGUCAGGGAAGAUAAUGACGGUACCUGAAGAAGAAGCCCCGGCUAACUUCGUG
Molecule: ribosomal RNA, 455 nt
Filed under: uncultured Pleomorphomonas sp.
Lineage: Bacteria; Pseudomonadati; Pseudomonadota; Alphaproteobacteria; Hyphomicrobiales; Pleomorphomonadaceae
Description: bacterial SSU rRNA
Rfam family: Bacterial small subunit ribosomal RNA
Source: RNAcentral